RNAcentral lists this ribosomal RNA (454 nucleotides) under uncultured bacterium. RNAcentral describes it as "bacterial SSU rRNA". It matches the Rfam family "Bacterial small subunit ribosomal RNA", at positions 29 to 525 of the family's 1533-position model. The record is from RNAcentral.
AACGAACGCUGGCGGCAUGCCUAACACAUGCAAGUCGAACGAACCCUUCGGGGUUAGUGGCGCACGGGUGCGUAACGCGUGGGAAUCUGCCCUUUGCUUCGGAAUAACUCAGGGAAACUUGAGCUAAUACCGGAUAAUGUCGCAAGACCAAAGAUUUAUCGGCAAAGGAUGAGCCCGCGUAGGAUUAGCUAGUUGGUGGGGUAAAGGCCUACCAAGGCGACGAUCCUUAGCUGGUCUGAGAGGAUGAUCAGCCACACUGGGACUGAGACACGGCCCAGACUCCUACGGGAGGCAGCAGUGGGGGGAAUAUUGGACAAUGGGGCGAAAGCCUGAUCCAGCAAUGCCGCGUGAGUGAUGAAGGCCUUAGGGUUGUAAAGCUCUUUUACCCGGGAUGAUAAUGACAGUACCGGGAGAAUAAGCUCCGGCUAACUCCGUGCCAGCCGCCGCGGUAAUU